GCGUCGAGUGGAACGCUGAGGGAGUUCGUGUGCUGGCGUCAGACGGUGAGCACUGGGGGCGCUGGGUGGUGGUCGCACUCCCCCUCGGCGUGC
Molecule: transfer RNA, 93 nt
Filed under: bacterium HR28
Lineage: Bacteria
Description: tRNA-Ala
Source: RNAcentral